RNAcentral lists this non-coding RNA (76 nucleotides) under Marinobacterium lutimaris. Its description in RNAcentral is "Marinobacterium sp. AN9 c-di-GMP-I riboswitch aptamer". It matches the Rfam family "c-di-GMP-I riboswitch aptamer". Rfam says of the family: GEMM was predicted in a large-scale screen for bacterial structured RNA regulatory elements. Genes associated with GEMM are involved in a diverse array of functions, including chemotaxis regulation, signal transduction, secretion and chitin. The record is from Rfam by way of RNAcentral. Lineage: Bacteria; Pseudomonadati; Pseudomonadota; Gammaproteobacteria; Oceanospirillales; Oceanospirillaceae.
UUCUCGAAAAGGCAAACCCCGAGUAAUCGGGGGACGCAAAGCCGCGGGUCCCUGUCGGGACGGCUGGGCUGUCGAA